GUGUCUGAAUCUGCUUGCAGCACCGAGCCGCUGCCCCUUUUUUGGGUGGUGGUGGUGAUGCGACUGCGGCAGUUUUAGGCUGAGAAAGUCCCUUAGAACCUGAACAGGAUAAUGCCUGCGUAGGGAGAGUGCUUUUUUUUUUUU
This 144-nucleotide small RNA is filed under the name Helianthus annuus (common sunflower). Its description in RNAcentral is "TPP riboswitch (THI element)". The record is from RNAcentral. Lineage: Eukaryota; Viridiplantae; Streptophyta; Magnoliopsida; Asterales; Asteraceae.